Molecule: ribosomal RNA, 127 nt
Filed under: Ice core clone 111-14
Lineage: Eukaryota
Description: partial 18S ribosomal RNA
Rfam family: Eukaryotic small subunit ribosomal RNA
Source: RNAcentral
CGCUACUACCGAUUGUAUGGCUAAGUGAGACUUUCGGACUGGCUCAGAAAGGUCGGCAACGACCAUUCAGAGCUGGAAAGUUGUUCAAACUUGGUCAUUUAGAGGAAGUAAAAGUCGUAACAAGGUU